This is a long non-coding RNA of Alligator sinensis (Chinese alligator), 396 nucleotides long. RefSeq lists it as uncharacterized. The record is from RefSeq and is a predicted model, not a curated record. The transcript has 3 exons. Lineage: Eukaryota; Metazoa; Chordata; Crocodylia; Alligatoridae.
UACAUGGCAGAAGCUCCAUGGCAUAGUCUGGAUCCAUGUCAUGACCAGGGCCACAAGGGAAGUCUGUGGCAGAGGAGGGGUUUGAGCCCAGCUCUCUCCCCAGUGCCCCUAAGCACCGGUUGACAGAGUAGGACAGUGCCAUGUUGUAUGUCCCAGCCUGCACGGAGGAGCCCCAGUUGACAGCUACGGUGGGAUGAGGAAGAAGAUGCAGAAGAAAGGUCAGUAGGUCCCACACCCACAUCCCUCCUAGUGGGAGAGCACAUCUGGAGCAGUGAAUGGAAAGACCCACCCCGCAGUGAGAGAGAAAGGGGCUGGGAAGCACCUCCUCACCUGGCUUCUUAUAGCUGACAUAGGCCACGCUGACCAGAAUGAUUCCUACCACAAUGAGGGCUGCCC